Molecule: ribosomal RNA, 419 nt
Filed under: uncultured soil bacterium
Lineage: Bacteria
Description: bacterial SSU rRNA
Rfam family: Bacterial small subunit ribosomal RNA
Source: RNAcentral
AGAGUGAACGCUGGCGGUAGGCCUAACACAUGCAAGUCGAACGGCAGCACAGUGGUAGCAAUACCAUGGGUGGCGAGUGACGGACGGGUGAGGAAUACAUCGGAAUCUACCUUUUCGUGGGGGAUAACGUAGGGAAACUUACGCUAAUACCGCAUACGCCCUUCGGGGGAAAGCCGGGGAUCGCAAGACCUGGCGCGGAUAGAUGAGCCGAUGUCGGAUUAGCUAGUUGGUGAGGUAAUGGCUCACCAAGGCGACGAUCCGUAGCUGGUCUGAGAGGAUGAUCAGCCACACUGGAACUGAGACACGGUCCAGACUCCGUACGGGAGCAGCAGGUGGGAAUAUGGACAAGUGGGCGCAAGCCUGAUCCAGCCAUACCGCGUGGGUGAAGAGGCCUUCGGUAGUAAAGUCCCGUUUUUGUA